GGAUAAUAUAUUUUAAAACUUAUGAAAAAUCAUUCAUAAUUGCUGCAACACUCAGAUUUGAAUAAAAAUAUUCAAAAUGAAUUCACUAGUGAUGCAACAGGGAACAAAGAUUAUAGUAGCUCUUUUGAUAUGCAGUUCCAAUUUUAGCAACUGUGAGAUUUUGGGAUGUUGGCUUGUGAGCUAUUCAGUGUAUGACUCUGUAUGCCAUAUAGUCUAAUUUAGUGUAAAGUAGUUCUAAAUAUAGGGUUUCUGGAUAAUUGUUUAGGAGUUCUAGGAGUUUUAGUUUUUUGUUUUGGGUUUAACUUGUUCCUUCUUUAUAAUUUGGUAGUUUCCUAAUUGGGAGUUAUAGCUUCUAAUCGAUGCAAGUAUCAAGAAUAAAAUGAACGCAUGCAUGUCUUGUAAUUUUUCUCUCUUUCGUUCUCUGUGUUUUAGUUGUAGUCCUGGAAAUCCUUCACUGUAAUUCAUUGGAUUGACUAUGCUUUCACCACCACCACGCCAAAUUUCUUCCACUAGACAAGGCAUUACUUCUUUUCUCUCAGAUAAACCCUUAAUUGCAAUUUUCUAGGCAGCAGCCCACCUCAAAAGCACAAACAUGGCAUAUUUAGUGUUUUUGCUUCUGCUUUUGGCCAUGAUGACUCUUGAAUUCUGUCUAAAGAUGCUCUUGGAGUUUGGAUGUUUUGGUUAAAAGCAUCUCAAAAGCUUUUGCCUGCUUAUGGCUGAAACAGCCAAGGGUCUAUAAGUAGUUGCAAAGCCACUUCAAGCAUACCAAUUGGCAGAUUUGUUCAAUCUGUCUUCUUUUAGCACUUUUCUUUCUCCUCAUUGCAAAUUGUAAGAUCUCCCUAAUAUUCAAGGCAGCACCAUGCUCUUGGUCAAAGUAUCCAAGGAAAUGUAACCCCUUGGGUGGUUUUACCAAAAUUGUUCCUAGGGUCCUGAAUACUUAGGAACAGGACAAGAACUUGAGGUGUUAUGCUGAUCUUGUCAUCCUUUGUAUUCCUGAAUAAGUCAUUUUCAGAGGCUGGUUGUAUCUAAUAGCAAAAAUUCUUUAGUUAUGGCUUUAUAGUUCUAUUUAUGGAAGUUCUAGACGUUAUAUAGUUGUUUUGUACAUCGCUUGCAUCUCCUUUGGUGCCUGUAUGAUAUAUAUAUGCCUGAUUUUUUUAAUGAUUUAGUGUUGGGAUUACUUCUUGUCCUGUUCUUGAUGUUGGAUUUGUUCAUUCUCUUUUAGUCCUUUUAAAACUGUCAGUCCAAAUGCUUUGUUUUUCCAUACAGCCAUUUGGAAGUAUCACUAACCAUGCUUUCUUGUUUUUAUCUUGUUUGAGAGAACUCUGCUUCUGCCUGUUCUGGCA
This 1343-nucleotide unclassified non-coding RNA is filed under the name Hevea brasiliensis (rubber tree). The record is from RNAcentral. Lineage: Eukaryota; Viridiplantae; Streptophyta; Magnoliopsida; Malpighiales; Euphorbiaceae.